RNAcentral lists this ribosomal RNA (491 nucleotides) under uncultured bacterium. RNAcentral describes it as "partial 16S ribosomal RNA". It matches the Rfam family "Bacterial small subunit ribosomal RNA", at positions 28 to 507 of the family's 1533-position model. The record is from RNAcentral.
GAUGAACGCUGUCUACAGGCUUAACUCAUGCAAGUCGAGGGGAAACGACGGGGAAGCUUGCUUCCCCGGGCGUCGACCGGCGCACGGGUGAGUAACGCGUAUCCAACCUGCCUCUGACUGAGGGAUAACCCGUCGAAAGUCGGCCUAAUACCUCAUGGCAUCGUCUGCGGGCAUCCAACGACGAUUAAAGAUUUCAUCGGUCAGGGAUGGGGAUGCGUCUGAUUAGCUUGUUGGCGGGGUAACGGCCCACCAAGGCUACGAUCAGUAGGGGUUCUGAGAGGAAGGUCCCCCACAUUGGAACUGAGACACGGUCCAAACUCCUACGGGAGGCAGCAGUGAGGAAUAUUGGUCAAUGGGCGGGAGCCUGAACCAGCCAAGUAGCGUGCAGGAUGACGGCCCUAUGGGUUGUAAACUGCUUUUAUGCGGGGAUAAAGUGAGGGACGUGUCCUUCAUUGCAGGUACCGCAUGAAUAAGGACCGGCUAAUUCCGUG